RNAcentral lists this transfer RNA (88 nucleotides) under Planctomycetota bacterium. Its description in RNAcentral is "tRNA-Ser". It matches the Rfam family "tRNA". From Rfam's summary of the family: Transfer RNA (tRNA) molecules are approximately 80 nucleotides in length. Lineage: Bacteria; Pseudomonadati; Planctomycetota. The record is from RNAcentral.
GGAGAGGUGGCAGAGCGGCCGAUUGUGCCCGCUUGGAAAGCGGGUGUACCGCAAGGUACCGAGGGUUCGAAUCCCUCCCUCUCCGCCA